RNAcentral lists this ribosomal RNA (497 nucleotides) under uncultured bacterium. RNAcentral describes it as "partial 16S ribosomal RNA". It matches the Rfam family "Bacterial small subunit ribosomal RNA", at positions 28 to 507 of the family's 1533-position model. The record is from RNAcentral.
GAUGAACGCUGGCGGCGUGCCUAAUACAUGCAAGUCGAGCGAACGGACGAGAAGCUUGUUUCUCUGAUGUUAGCGGCGGACGGGUGAGUAACACGUGGAUAACCUACCUAUAAGACUGGGAUAACUUCGGGAAACCGGAGCUAAUACCGGAUAAUAUUUUGAACCGCAUGGUUCAAAAGUGAAAGACGGUCUUGCUGUCACUUAUAGAUGGAUCCGCGCUGCAUUAGCUAGUUGGUAAGGUAACGGCUUACCAAGGCAACGAUGCAUAGCCGACCUGAGAGGGUGAUCGGCCCCCCUGGAACUGAGACACGGUCCAGACUCCUCCGGGAGGCAGCAGUAGGGAAUCUUCCGCAAUGGGCGAAAGCCUGACGGAGCAACGCCGCGUGAGUGAUGAAGGUCUUCGGAUCGUAAAACUCUGUUAUUAGGGAAGAACAUAUGUGUAAGUAACUGUGCACAUCUUGACGGUACCUAAUCAGAAAGCCACGGCUAACUACGUG